Molecule: ribosomal RNA, 253 nt
Filed under: uncultured bacterium
Lineage: Bacteria
Description: partial 16S ribosomal RNA
Rfam family: Bacterial small subunit ribosomal RNA
Source: RNAcentral
UACGUAGGGUGCAAGCGUUAAUCGGAAUUACUGGGCGUAAAGCGCGUGUAGGCGGCUUUGCAAGUCGGGUGUGAAAUCCCUCAGCUCAACCGAGGAAGUGCGCCCGAAACUGCUUAGCUUGAGUGCCGGAGAGGAUGGCGGAAUUCCCCAAGUAGAGGUGAAAUUCGUAGAUAUGUGGAGGAAUACCGAUGGCGAAGGCAGCCCCCUGGGAUAACACUGACGCUCAUGCACGAAAGCGUGGGGAGCAAACAGG